RNAcentral lists this ribosomal RNA (472 nucleotides) under uncultured bacterium. Its description in RNAcentral is "bacterial SSU rRNA". It matches the Rfam family "Bacterial small subunit ribosomal RNA", at positions 355 to 825 of the family's 1533-position model. The record is from RNAcentral.
UGGGGAAUAUUGGACAAUGGGCGAAAGCCUGAUCCAGCCAUGCCGCGUGUGUGAAGAAGGUCUUCGGAUUGUAAAGCACUUUAAGUUGGGAGGAAGGGCAGUAAGUUAAUACCUUGCUGUUUUGACGUUACCGACAGAAUAAGCACCGGCUAACUCUGUGCCAGCAGCCGCGGUAAUACAGAGGGUGCAAGCGUUAAUCGGAAUUACUGGGCGUAAAGCGCGCGUAGGUGGUUUGUUAAGUUGGAUGUGAAAGCCCCGGGCUCAACCUGGGAACUGCAUCCAAAACUGGCAAGCUAGAGUACGGUAGAGGGUGGUGGAAUUUCCUGUGUAGCGGUGAAAUGCGUAGAUAUAGGAAGGAACACCAGUGGCGAAGGCGACCACCUGGACUGAUACUGACACUGAGGUGCGAAAGCGUGGGGAGCAAACGGGAUUAGAUACCCCCGUAGUCCCUGAGCGGGCUGGCAAGGCGCAU